GUAGCACUUUCCCAAAUUGUAUGAGCAAAUUAGCAGUUUGGAAUACCACACUCAGCUUCGGCAAUCCUUGCCAACCUCAUCCUGCUCAGAGAAGGCCACGCUCAGGCUUUUCAGAGCAGAGAGUAACAUUGUUUCUUGCUGCCCUUUGGCCACUGUGGUACGGUUAGCUGAGGAGAGGCCUUGGCGAUGGCACUGCCAGAGACUGAUGAACAAGGAGAAGCUGAAUAUGGAGGGAAGGGAGAAAAAAGAGGAGACCAGGAAGGAUUGAAGCUGCCCUCUCUCCCUUAGCAUCUCAAGCCAUCUGCCUGCUCUGUCAAAAAAGGUGGCCUUGGGUGUGGCAGCUAAUGAAGCUUUCCUCUGCAGGGGUACCUCACAGAGCACAGAGACGCAAGAAUGUACAGCACCAGGAGUGAACCCUAAUGUAAACCAUGGACGUUGGGUGAUAACGAUGUGUCAGUGUAGGCUCAUCAGUUGUAACAAAUUUAGCGAAUGCCGAACCUGAACCUGACGUCUGUCUCCUGGAAACUUGUGCCCAUCAGUCCCAUAGUGACUCAGAGCACCUCCUCUUCCUCGUGACCGUCCUUCAGAUGUCUACAGAUCACAGGAACAUCCCCCUGAGUAUUUCCUCUGCUUCCAGCUAAGCUUUUAUAUUUCCUUGGACCAUUUUGGUUUUUUCAGCCACUUUAUCUUCCUCCGAACAAGAAGCUGCCUUGUUCUUAGAUGACCCAUCUCCAUGGCCAGAGUGGAUGGGUACAGAGGAGGUAUUGACGCAAGCUGUCCGAUCCGAUUUCUGCUCUCGGAUUUUUCAAACUGGCGCUGAAGUCAGUCAGAUCCUCUCUGGGUAGGAGCUGACGGAUGUGAGGUUUGGGAUGUGUUGACAGCCGUGUUUUCUGCCGUGUGUGGGAAGAACACCAUGUAAGAGAGACAAUGAAGGUGACCCUGAGAGGAGCAGAGAAAUGGAGGGGGAGGGACUGCCGGCAGCCUUCGGGCAUCUGGAUGCGGUUGCCCCGGAAGCCCAGCGCUAUCCCUGUCCUUCCGGUGGAUUGUCAUUCAAUCCUUUUUGUAUUCUGUGAACCAAUAAAGUCCCUUUGUCUAAACCAGUUUACAGUGGAUUUCUGAGACUUUCAAAUAAGAGAAUCAAACUGGCCACAUCUGAAAACCUAGAGCGUGGGCUUUGGAAUUCAAAAAGCCUCGGUUUGAAUCCUAUGUUCGCCACUUAUUACCUUUGUGAUCUUUAGGAAAUUUCCUAAGUACUCUGACCUCGUUUUCUUCACCUGUAAAAUGGGACCAGCAUUCGGUACGUUACCGCUUUGCUAUAAGGAAUAAGGAAGGAUCCUGCCUAUAAAGGCCACUUCUGCACCUGACACACAGUAGUCUCAUCCCAUUGGCAACAGCAAAGCAAAUUUUAUCUUUAUUACUACCGAGUUUCAGUUAAUUCAGGCAUUUACACAAGCUGUCACAAAAUUUGUUUCCUCACCCUGAACUGACUUUUUGAGCCUAAUUGCUGGAUUUUCAGAAUGUUUCUGCUCACUUUCCCCUUUGUUAAUUCCAGAAAAAUUGUUUAACAGAAAUGUUGAAGUUUUUCAAAGGACAGAUGCUCCUCUGUCCCCUAGGAAGCUUCUGACUUGUGUUGUUUUCAGAGUUUCAUGACCAGGGCAACAGAAGCAGUCAAUGUUUGAAGUCUUUCUCCUCUGCUGUGGGUAAAUUCUUGGGCCCUUUCCCAGAAAUGACUUUCCAGAAUAAUUGUUCUAGAAAGCUCCACGGAGACUGCCUGUCUGCUGAACUGUCACACGUUGGAGUUAAUUCACAGUUCCCGUCAUCUAUCCACAAUGAUAUGCAAAAAGCCCUUGGCUUGGAGAUAGAAGAUUCUAGGCUCAAUUUCCAGCUUUCGAAGUUUCCAGACUCCUCGGGUUACGAGUCCUGUAGGGGCUGGUGCAGGAGUUCUAAGAUGAACUCAGCUACUGACCUCAAACAGAUCAUGUUCUAAUGGAAGAGAGCAGUCACAUACAGCUGUCAUUUAACAGAUAUAAUAACGCUAUACUGAUAGUUGUCGUAUACAUUCAGUCCAUAGUGCACAGGCAAUGACAUAGGAUCACGACCAAAUAGAAAAGGAAUUGAUCUCCAGGAUUUGCUGCUGAUCGUAACUGAUGAUGGUUCCGGUUGACCCCUUUUGGGGAACGGUGAGCAGAUUUCCAGCUGUAUAAGGGAUGGUUGUUCUAUGUCCGGCAGGAGCACUGUUGUGUUUCAGAAGUAUGGGAAUGAUGUCGGAAAGCAAAACGAGUGGACUACAGUGGACAUCUGGUUUUGGUGGUCAAGCUUCAACGUCUGGAAACUCUUCUACCUACCACAUGAGGCAGAGACCACCUGCCACAUCUUCCAUGAGAGACGCUGAAAAUACCAAAUGUUUGCCUUGCAGCUAGGCGUGGGGGCGUGAGCUAGGCUCUGCCAGUGAGAGGCAUCUGCCCCAGAACUCGGAGACGCCAGGCAGCAGGGACUGUGUGCAUUCAUUUGGUGAGACUGGCAGAUGCAGGGCCAGCUCUCUCCAGAGCUCAGGGCAGGAGGGGGCUUCCGGGGUGCCAAUAGUUCAUGCCAUGCUCUGUGCUUAGGGACUGUGGCAGCAGCGUCCACAGGGACCGGGUCUGAGAUGUGAUCUUGACAUGGUUACUGACCACACCACUUUAGAGCAUCAUUUUUGGGUGUGGAGCACGGAGAGGGAGACAUUUCCUCCCUUAUUCACAAUUGUGUGCUUGGCAUUAAAUGAUGGGAUGCAAGUGAAAGCCCCUGAGGCAUGAGGCUUAUUUUCAGAAAAUGUUUGUUCCGUCAGAAUCUUGAGCUUGCUAUUGGAUGGUAAAUGAGCAGUUCUGAGAGACAAACUGUGGAUCUCUUUCUCAAAGCACAAGUGAGAAGUGGAUGGAGUUCCAGGGCGGGUAUAGGGUUUCAGCCUCGGCCAGAAGCCCAUCAAGCACUGAUGAGUUUUCUGUGGGACUCCAGGGCAGCACAGAUGACCCAAUGGUCCCCCUGGUCAGUGUGAGGAAGCAUGGUUGGUAGUACGACUGUGCGCAACUCCAGGGGACGCUAUGCAUAUUGUUAUCUAUAGAGGAACAGAGAUGGUAAAACUGUGAGGUUGCCCAUGAGCCAGCCACUUGGCUGAGGGAUGGGAUGCUUAACUCAGGGACCAUGUUGGGGUGGGUACUGCUGAUGGGGGCUGAAGGAGAGUAGCCCCCUCAUCUACCAGCACUACCCCAUCCCUCCAGGAAGAAAAGGAAGAUUGUGUCUUCAUGCGGGAGGGGGCCAGGGUAACGCAGAACACUAUUAAAGAAAACCAUGCAUAAAGCCUGUGUCAAGACCACCAACUAGCACACGCCAACGUCAGGGCUGGGGUUGGGGAAUCUCUCCUCAGCCCCAGGACGCUGUCCCCUUGUGAGCAAAACUCCCCUCCUCAUCCCUGUGGGGCUCUAGGGGGGAGCGAAGCCUCUGAGAGUUCAGGGAGACAGACGAGGGAUGGGGAAGGAAGUUCAGAGAGAACUUGGGCUUCUGGUGACAAUGAUGAUAAAAUAUGAAUUUGCUGCUAUGGACUGAAUGGUGUCCUCCCCAAAGUUCAUGUGCUGAAGCCAUGACCUCCAAUGUGAUAUUCAGAGAUGGGGCCUUUGGGAGGUGAUUAGGGUGAGAUGAGGUCAUGAGAGGACCCAUGGUGGGAUUAGUGACCUUAUAAGAGAAGGGAGGGACAUCAGGGCCAGCUCUCUUCAUCACGUGAAGACGCAGCAAGAAGGCAGCUGUCUGCAAGCCAGGAGGAGGGCCCUCACCAAGAACUCAAUCUGCUAGCACCCUGAUCUUGGACUUCCCAGCCUCCAGAACAAAUGUCUGGUGAGAAACAAAUGUCUGUUGUGUGAGCCACCAGUCUAUGCUGUUUUGUUAUUGCAGCCUGAGGAGACUAAGGCAACUGCAUAUUCACCCCAGACAAGUGAUUUUUUUUUGCUGGGAAAGAUUCACCCUGAGCUAACGUCUGUUGCCAAUCUUCCCCCUUUUUUUUUCCUCCCCAAAGCCCCAGUGCAUAGUUGUAUAUUCUAGCUGUAAGUCCUUCUACGUGAGCUGCUGCCACAGCAUGGCAAUUGACAGAUGGGUGGUAUGGCUCCACGCGUGGGAACUGAACCCCGGUCGCCGAAGUGGAGUGUGCUGAACUUUAAAACCACUAGGCCACCAGGCCUGGCUCACAAGCUAUUUUAAUAAAUGGAUUUGAUUCCAGAAAUCAUUUGAAUGGAAUAGAAUAUGAACAAGAAUGGCACAAAAGACAUUUACUGUGGUUUUUUGGGGUGCUCAGGACCCAGAAAUGUCGACACCAUUUUUAAGAAUAAACUUUCACAUUCAGAUAUAGCUGUGUGACUCCUCAGUCUGCUUACACGUGUCUUUGAACUUAGACUUCAGACCCAAAGAACAAUCUCAUCAUCUUCCCCACACCAAGUUUUCCUUGUUUGUGGCACCUGCACUAACCAACUGCCCAACCUAGGAACUGGCCCCACCCUCGGCCACUCCCUCUGCCUGCCCAUCAGUCAUCCAGUCAUCACUUCCUCCUUUUCAAUAUGUUUGGGUUACGACCAGUUACCUCGUCCUCACUGCCACCAUCUGCCACCAUCUCUCCCUGGACCUCUGCCACUGCGUCCAACAGGUCUUCUUCC
Equus caballus (horse) is the source of this 4673-nucleotide long non-coding RNA. The record is from Ensembl. Lineage: Eukaryota; Metazoa; Chordata; Mammalia; Perissodactyla; Equidae.